GAUGAAGAACGUAGCGAAAUGCGAUAACUAAUGUGAAUUGCAGAAUUCAGUGAAUCAUCGAGUCUUUGAACGCACAUUGCGCCCCCUGGUAUUCCGGGGGGCAUGCCUGUCCGAGCGUCAUUGCUGCCCUCAAGCACGGCUUGUGUGUUGGGCUCUGUCCCCCCGGGGACGGGCCCGAAAGGCAGCGGCGGCACCGAGUCCGGUCCUCGAGCGUAUGGGGCUUUGUCACCCGCUCUGUAGGCCCGGCCGGCGCCAGCCGACAACCCAUCAUCCUUUUCAGGUUGACCUCGGAUCAGGUAGGGAUACCCGCUGAACUUAAGCAUAUCAAUAAGCGGAGGA
This 339-nucleotide unclassified non-coding RNA is filed under the name soil metagenome. RNAcentral describes it as "partial contains 5.8S ribosomal RNA, internal transcribed spacer 2, and large subunit ribosomal RNA". The stretch from base 1 to 120 matches the Rfam family "5.8S ribosomal RNA", at positions 35 to 154 of the family's 154-position model. The record is from RNAcentral.